GGGGGUGGUCCUUAGAGUGGGCAAAACAGUUUUUUUUAUCCCCCAAACCUCAGAUUGUUAUCUGCAUAUGCCCUCUUGGGCAAAAGGAAGUUCUUAUUUGGGGAAAGCUUGGAGUGUAUUAUCUCCAGAAAGUCUAAACGGGACUGCAGGUGAAGGAAGGAAGUCUCUGAUGACGGCUACUUCUCAGAGCUGUUUGGAGGGACACGGUUUGCCGAGGAGUCUCUCUCUUUCUUGGUGUCGCCUGCCUGUCUGACACAGCCUUUCUCUGUUUUGCCUGGAAGUAUUCCGUGCGUGUUCCCACGGGGGUUAGCAAAGACUCCAAAGUCAUCUGCCACCUGACUUGUCAGCGACUGCAACUUACCAUCCCGCUGGGCUGCCGCGCUUCUCCCGGCGUAAUGUAACCUUUCACAAGUGCAUUUCCUUGAGUCUGACCACAAAGAACUUGGAAGACUCUCUGAGAUGGCUCACAGCACUUGAUCAAGUCAUUAAAGCCGCUUUGCCUCUUUCUCUCGUCUUCCCUUUCCUGUUGGAUUUCAAAGCCUCUUCUAUUCCUCCUGAGCCCAGUGGAGGUCAGAUCUGCACGUCUCUCCUUUACAUUUAAGUUCUUUAAAGCUCUUCUUACCUUGGAAAGCGUUAUUCAAUCUUGUGUAAAAUCUUGUAAUAUUUCACAAUGUCUCUAUCUUCUCUUGCUCCUCGGGUUCCAAAUGAACCAGCAGAUUGCCCGGUAGAAUUGAAUUUGAUGUGUUCAAGCCCAGGCGCUUCUUCAGACUGAUUCCUGUUUUGUGCCCUGAUGGCCUCAAAGAAUGUCCUUGAACUUUGGAUCUUUUGUUUGAAAUCUGGCAGUGCAUUUCAAAUGAAUUUCGUAUUUUUCCUUCA
Long non-coding RNA from Lemur catta (Ring-tailed lemur), 876 nucleotides. RefSeq lists it as uncharacterized. The record is from RefSeq and is a predicted model, not a curated record. The transcript has 3 exons. NCBI's taxonomy places the organism in Eukaryota, Metazoa, Chordata, Mammalia, Primates, Lemuridae.